CCUCUCAAGAUCCUUGAGUUUGACAAUGAGAACUAUUUAUUUGGUUAUAUUUGGUGUUUGGUUAUGUCACGACACAUUUGAAACUUCAUUGUUUUUCUUUGUUAUAGUAUAGUAUGUAUUCUUAUAUGAAAUGUGAGGAAAGAUAGGGGUAAAAAAGGAAUUGCAGAAAAAAAGAUUUAAUCAAAAUGAAAACUAUAACUAAGAAAAAUUGGGAAAAGAGGGGUUCGGGAAACAACAACCAGGUAGCAGUGAAGCGGUUGAAUUUCACCUGACAUUCAACAACAACAGCAUCAUAGCAUAACAAUCAUUCCCUUCUUUCUUUUUCGAAAGUUUCAAUUGAAUUUCUCAAAUUAAUUCGUGUUGUUCACAUCACGCAAAUAAUUGAUUGAUCAUCAUCUCAUACAAGAAUGGCGGAAGGGAGUAAUACUCCUGUUCUUCUUCCUGAUUUGUUGAAAAACACGCCUUCCAAUAUAGCUAGAUUGGAAGAUGUUGUUCGUUGGUAUUUUUGUAAGACCUCUUUAGCCCCUAAUGGUAUGUACUAUGUCUUAUCAUCAAUUUGUAGUUUUUGUUGUGUUAAUUUAAUUUUAUAUUACUUUACUACUUUAUUAGUAUGUAUCCCUUUUGAUUGAUUAAUAUGUUUUGUUCUGCUUUGAAAAUGAUUGAUUUUGAUUUUGAAUGAAUUGAUUCUGACUAAAAGUGAGUUGCGGGUGGAUUGAUUUGUGUUUAGAUUCAUUCAUCUAGAAGUAAUAAUCAAUUAUAGAAUCAAAGGCUACAAAUAGUAGAAUUGAUUUUAGUCCCCAAACUUGAUUUCUAAGAAAAGAUCAAAAUCGGGUUAUUAGCAUUUAGAUUUCAGAUUUUUGUUGAAAACAAAUGUUUAAUUGUUCGGUGUAGUUUUGGGCAGGGAGUACUAGGAUUAUAGAAGUUCUUUUAUGUAAUUAGCAGCAAAACAGGGCAUGAGAUGUGUUGGGUUUAUCUCCAACUAUUAUGGCCAUGGGGCUCUGCCAUUAUUUCUUAAGCAUGAAAUUGUGACUAUGAAAGGUUCAACAUUUUCUUUUGAUUUGUAUUGGUUGAUACGUGAAUUAGUUUUUGCCAAUUAAUCAUAUUUAAUAUUGGCUACUCUAAUUAUUUGGAAUUGAUAAAGAUCAUUUUCUCAUGAUUGAUUCAAAAGAUAUCAAUGGACUUGGCAGUUAUUUUGAUGGAAUAUCAAUUGCUAUAACUACUGUUAAUUCUAAUUAUUGAGACUUUUCACUCCCAACACUAAAAAAAAAAAACUGAUAUUGCAAAUGACUGUUUGGUUGGGUAGUGGGAUUUUAAUGAGAUAUCCACAUUUGUGUAGGUUGGAAUUGAUAAAGAUCAUUUUCUCAUGAUUGAUUCAAAGGAUAUCAAUGGACUUGGCAGUUAUUUUGAUGGAAUAUCAAUUGCUAUAACUACUGUUAAUUCUAAUUAUUGAGACUUUUCACUCCCAACACUAAAAAAAAAAAACUGAUAUUGCAAAUGACUGUUUGGUUGGGUAGUGGGAUUUUAAUGAGAUANGUUUUGGCUAGAACAGUCACCUUUGUUGGUGUAUACCCGAUUGACAUAGGUGAAGCUUUAGGCCUUUACCAUGCGAUUCAAUGGGCGAGUGAUAUGCACUUAGAUAAUUUUGAUUUUGAAGUCGACUCCAAAACCACAAAAGACGCUCUUUACUCGAGUCGGGAAGACAUAACUGAAUUUGGCAACAUCAUCACAUAUUCCCGGUCUUUGCUCUCGUCCAAGUUUACCAACUCUCGAGUGGAGUUUGUUUGGCGACAAGCUAUUAUAAUGUGGUGUCUCACACUCUCGCAGGGAAAGCCACAUUUCUCGCUAGUCCCACUAUUUAUUUUCAUAUACCCAAUUGUAUUGAAACUUUGAUUACUAAUGAAAUGCUAUAAACACUUUUCUCUAAAAAAAAAAGUUAUUUAAUCAUAACAAAUUAAUCCUUUAAGUAUUGUUUGUAACACUUAGGUGCUUUAAGUUAUUUAAUUGUAACUUUUAGAUCCCGAAUAACUUGCAUUUUUAAGAUAUGAAAUUCCUCAAAUUGUUAAGGUAAAAUAACACAAAGGACCUUGUUGGUACAAGAAAAACUUAAAGGACCAUCUUGUUCGAGCUAAUUAACUUAAAUGACCUAAGUGAUAUGAAAAAAACUUAAAUACCAAUUUAUUACAAUAAAAUAACUUAAUGAUCUCUAAUAUAAUUUAACCCUAUAAUUAUUAUUGCAAGUUUUCUAUGACUGAUUAUUAUUGUAAGUGUUCGCCAACAAAACCACUUCAAACGAAUAAUUGAGUUAUUUUAUUUUUGAUAUUCUUUGGUGGAUGAGUCAGUGAAACGGAUACAUUUGUUAUUGAUUAUUUGUUUUGAUUCUUUCCUGGUCAAUUUGGGCGUCUUGCCUUUUUGGGGUUUUGCUGUUGUUGUAGCCUCCUGUAGUACCUAUGAUGAUGUUGUUUAUUUUUUUAUUAUGGCUACUUUGUUUCCUGUAGUUUAGAGGCAGCCGUUGUUUUUGUUGAGGGGGAUUUAUUUUAUGUUUUGAUACUGUUAAUUUAUUUCACAUUUGUUAAUAUAUUUUACAUUUGCUAAUAUUUUGAUGGGUCAUGUUAACCAAUGUCUCCGGAUCACUGGUUAAGAAAGUCAGAAAAAGAAAUUAUAAAUUAAAAAAGAUAUUUUUUAAACUUUUAAUGCAUUGAUUAUACAACUUUUAAUGUAAAUAUUACUUUUUAUGUGAAACUGAUUAAGAUUUCUCUUCCUAAAAAUAUAAUAACAAUUGGUUAACAUUUAGCGACCGUCAGUUAACCUCUUCCAAUAAGAUCUCUGAACUAUCAUUGAUGUUAUUCUUUUUAUUGUUAAUAUGAGUUUAUUCUUAUUGUUGUUGAUAUUUUGAGCUUGUUGUUCUUGUUAUUAUUUAUAUCACGGAGACGGAUGACCCUAAAUUUCAAGUAGAACUCCACCAUGGAGGACAAUUUUUUAAGGGGAAGUUUGGUAAUGAAUAUAUAGGAGGUAGAACAAUGGAAGGGCUUGAAUAUGAUUCGGAUCACUAGAAAUUAUUGUUGUAUUGAAGAAGUUAGAAUACAAUGGUUAAUCCAAGAGUAGUAGCUCCUUAAGGAUGUGGACACAUCGAAAUAAAUUUGUGUAGCAAAUAACCAUUUGAAAGUUAAUCCUUAGCAAAUAGAAGUCAUCGAUGAAUGAUAUGAAGCUCGACAAGGUGGACGUUACUUGCACUUACAAUGUAACCUGAUAAAUUUGAGAUCCAAGACUCAAGUAAGCUUCCAAUUAUAGUUUUAAUAGGGUUGCUUAAACAAUUGUCAUCAACAUUAAUCCAUUUGGGUUGAUCUGGUGGUAUUGACUUGAGAUAUAGGAGUGUGCUCCUCCUCAAAGUCUCAGGUUUUGAUUCUCCCUGUGCAAUUUGGAUGAAUUAAUUUAGCUUCUUUAAAAAAAUUGUCAUCAAAAUUAUUAAUGAUGCAAUUGUGAUGAGAAGAAUUUGAUUAAACCUAUUUGUCCAUAAGACUUGUAUUCGGUGAACUAGAAAAGCAAGUCAUGUUAUGAAUAACACACAUGUUGUUAGCUUCCAUUGUAAGAUGAUAAGACGAGAUCGCAGUAUUAGAAACACAACUAAAGUUGUGGUUUUCCAAGACUUCCACACCUCAUCAACGAAGAUGUUGGCAUUAUGUGAAGUGAGCCCUUGCCUGAACCUAACUUUCGAAAGGAUCAAACUCAGAUAAAAAAGAUAAGUCCAUGGUGGGGUAUUGCAGGUGGGGUAUUGAAGAGAUCAUAGUAUUCGCUGCCAAUUGAAAAGCCAACAAAACCAUUACCCCAUUCUUCCUUCUUCCUCCCUUCAUAUUUCUUUUUGACGUCAUGGUGGGGUACUGUUUGGCCGCGUUGUCCAUAAAUUUUAGAGAAAUGAUAUUUAAACAUUUAUUUUUUGACAACUUUUGUGACAACUUUCUGUCUCAUAUUCACAUUAUUUUUUACUUUAUCUCUCUAUUGCUUUGAUUUUCGUGUCAAUACUUACUUUUUCUUUGUAAAUUAUGGUUGUCCCAUAAGUUGUCCACUAAAUGGUUGUUUAAAUAACACUCCUCCAUAAUUUAACGUUAGAAGUCAAUAACAUCAUGUUGUCAAGAAGAUGUACGAGGAAAAGAACAGCAUCAAAAUUUGCUCUAGAUAGAGGAAUAAUACUAGUAAAAGUUUAUGGUCAGUCAACUCAAGUCCAACACCUUACCUUUACAAAUUUGUGUCAUUUGGUCAAUUGUGUAUACCUCUGCAAAUAUAUAUUCGAAUAUUAUAUGAGUGAAUUAAGGUUUAGUGUUACACGUCACACAAACAUUGCUAAAAUAGACUAACUAUUUUAUGAAGGUUUAUUUUAGCAAUUUACACAUUUUCUUUUGGAUAAAAAGACCCAUUUAAUUACAUUUUGUUUGAUAAUGCCUUGUCGAAAAUUACAACUUUAUCUUUCAAUUUUGAUUUUUUUCUUUUCAAAAAGCAAAAUUUGGUAUUCUGUCCAAGUGAAAAGCCGUUGGUUGCUAAAAUACUCAUUCAUAAAAAUGUGUGGUUAUUUAUAUAAACACAUACGUUACUAUGUCGAGAUUCACAAUAGUCCAGCUACCCUGCCUUUCCCCCUCUUACGUGUCUAUAUAUGAGUCCUACUCCAUGGAACUCAACAUUCUAACAUAUAAAAAAGGACUUUUAGCAUCUCUAAAGUAGAUUCACUAUAUCCUACCAUUCACUCUUGCUAAUAUACUAAUUUAAUGUCAGAUUGCUUGCAUAUAUAUGCAAAAUAUAACAUAUAAUAUAUAAUAUAUUAAAAAGUAACAUUAUAGAAUGACAGCUUUAAAAAAAGUUAUAAAUAAUGAAUGAUUUUUCAAACAUAUAAAUUAGUAAAAUAUUUUGUUAUUUAUUGAUUUAUUAUAACUAAAGUGGAGACAUCUUAAUAUAUAAUACAAAGGUUCACAAUGCAUGCUUCAUUUGCCUAAAACCUAAUUCCCUAACCCUAAUUUAUUUAAUUCUGAUCUUUGAGUUCCAAAUGUAACUGCACUGGAUGAUUAUGAUUGAAAUGCACACAGCCACAGGCUUUUGGUUUUCUCCAUUCUGCAAUGAAUUCUUUGCCGUUACAAUUUUGCUCUCCUUUAUAAACAACAUAUCAGGAUUUGUCAUUCCACCAUCUCCAAACCCUCCUGCGCCGCAGACAUGGCUUUCCACCAUAACAAUGUGGCGAUGCUCUCUUACAGCAUGUUGAUUGGUAUGUAUGCACAAGUUUUUCUUAAAAAUUCCCUUAUUUUUGCGGUUUGAAGCAUGAUAUUUGGUGUGUCAUUUUUUUGCAGCACCACUUGAUCCCAAUCCAGUGACAGAAAUGGAUAGGAGGAUCAACGAGCUACGCCUUAAGUAUAGGACAUACAUGGUUGAAGUUGACGUUGACUAUGUGUGUGGUUUUGUAUGGUCUGUUUUCCUUCCAUCUGUUAUUCUUUUUUAAAACCCUAACAACGUUUUUUGUUUCCACAGGGUGCUAUUAUGAUGCCAAUGAUGUUUUCCCAUGAUUUUGGAGACCAGAUCCAACAAUAUGCUACUCUGGUAGAUCCAAAACGCAAUCAGUUUGAAGUGCUGGUUGAAAGGAAUAACCAGGGGAUUUAUUUAACAAAGGGCUGGCACGCUAUCCGUGAUUUCUACAAAGUGCAGUUUGGUUCCUGGGUUACAGUUGUGUUUAUGGGAGAUGGAAGGUUUGAUAUUAGAAUGAAGAACAAGUUUGGUAAAAGAAUUCGUUACCCAACUUUUAACCCACCAAUGAAUUUUAGGGUUGAGCACAGUGCUGUUCCAGUCACCGUUGACUGGUUUGUUCCAAGGCCAUUCAUGCAUGACGGGAUGAACUUUCAGUUCACUUACGAGAAAAAGCUUGCUGUUGCUGAUGUUGAAAGUGGAUUUUUGGUACACGUUAAGCAUCAUCGUGUUAAACAAUUACACAUAUUUUUCGUAUAUUUUUGAAUAAGGCUGAAACAUUUUUUAUGUUUUUUUAGGAACUUGCUGAAGUUGGUUUUGCUCAAAUGGCUUUGGAUAGAGAAACUUCGAUAGUAGAUAUGGUGGACGAAAAUGGCAACAUAUGGAACUGCACCCUCAGUUUUUCAAUGAAUCCUGCUCCAAACUUCAAGAUUGGAGGAGGUUGGGAGCUUAUGGUCAAGGCUAGAAAGUUCGCGGAGGGUGUACGUGUGGUGGUUGGUGCUCCUGCGGUUGGCAUGAAUUUAACCCUCUACUUCUGUGUGAUUCGUCGUUGAGUUUAGGUUACCAGUUUGAUCUAAGACAUUUUGUACUAAGCUUUGAUGUAAUUUUCCAUUGUGGUGUUUCUGUCCUUUCCGUUUUCUGUUUUUCAUGAAUAACACAAUGCAAUCCUUUGAGUAUUUUGCAUUUCACAGAGAAUUUUUGUUAUGUUCUUUUCUGUUUUCUUUGUGCCAAUCAAGAUAUAUAUUAAUGUAAUUGUUAAUUUCUGCAUAAUUUGGAGCGAGAUCGAGGUGAUUUUCUGCAUCAUUUAGAGCUGGUUUAUAUGUUACAUUCAAGAUGAAUUACAAAUCGCAUUUCAGGUUUGUGAAGUCGAACAUUGGAAGAACGACUCAUUUGAACAAUAUCAAUUAUAUUAAAGGCACAAGCACAAAUGAUAUUAUGAUUGGUGUUGGAAUCCAAGGGAGUGUUUGAGGCCAAGGUGUUGAUGUGCCUUGCGGGGUAGGAAUGUCUUGGCAACAGUUUCUUGGUCUGUUUUGGUGCUGACUUUUUUGCGGUUGUGCACUUUUAGGCUUGCUGAUUUUUAGUUUACUGAUUUUUUAGCAGUUGUGCUGCAUUUCUGUUUAGUAGCAGCAGCUGCUUUUUUGGUGCCUUUUGCUGUCACUAGCACUUCCCUUUUGGUGUAUUUCUUUUUGCCAAACUUUGAGUUUGAUAUUGAUAUUGAUAUUGGAUUGUUGUACUGAGAAAGUGGGGUGGACUUCUUUAUGUGUUCUUACUUAAUGCCUCUCAAGAUCCUUGAGUUUGACAAUGAGAACUAUUUAUUUGGUUAUAUUUGGUGUUUGGUUAUGUCACGACACAUUUGAAACUUCAUUGUUUUUCUUUGUUAUAGUAUAGUAUGUAUUCUUAUAUGAAAUGUGAGGAAAGAUAGGGGUAAAAAAGGAAUUGCAGAAAAAAAGAUUUAAUCAAAAUGAAAACUAUAACUAAGAAAAAUUGGGAAAAGAGGGGUUCGGGAAACAACAACCAGGUAGCAGUGAAGCGGUUGAAUUUCACCUGACAUUCAACAACAACAGCAUCAUAGCAUAACAAUCAUUCCCUUCUUUCUUUUUCGAAAGUUUCAAUUGAAUUUCUCAAAUUAAUUCGUGUUGUUCACAUCACGCAAAUAAUUGAUUGAUCAUCAUCUCAUACAAGAAUGGCGGA
RNAcentral lists this long non-coding RNA (7407 nucleotides) under Medicago truncatula (barrel medic). RNAcentral's name for it is "long non-coding RNA (MTRU_LNC007810)". Lineage: Eukaryota; Viridiplantae; Streptophyta; Magnoliopsida; Fabales; Fabaceae. The record is from RNAcentral.